UAGCGGCGGACGGGUGAGUAACACGUGGGUAACCUGCCUGUAAGACUGGGAUAACUCCGGGAAACCGGGGCUAAUACCGGAUGGUUGUUUGAACCGCAUGGUUCAAACAUAAAAGGUGGCUUCGGCUACCACUUACAGAUGGACCCGCGGCGCAUUAGCUAGUUGGUGAGGUAACGGCUCACCAAGGCAACGAUGCGUAGCCGACCUGAGAGGGUGAUCGGCCACACUGGGACUGAGACACGGCCCAGACUCCUACGGGAGGCAGCAGUAGGGAAUCUUCCGCAAUGGACGAAAGUCUGACGGAGCAACGCCGCGUGAGUGAUGAAGGUUUUCGGAUCGUAAAGCUCUGUUGUUAGGGAAGAACAAGUACCGUUCGAAUAGGGCGGUACCUUGACGGUACCUAACCAGAAAGCCACGGCUAACUACGUGCCAGCAGCCGCGGUAAUACGUAGGUGGCAAGCGUUGUCCGGAAUUAUUGGGCGUAAAGGGCUCGCAGGCGGUUUCUUAAGUCUGAUGUGAAAGCCCCCGGCUCAACCGGGGAGGGUCAUUGGAAACUGGGGAACUUGAGUGCAGAAGAGGAGAGUGGAAUUCCACGUGUAGCGGUGAAAUGCGUAGAGAUGUGGAGGAACACCAGUGGCGAAAGGCGACUCUCUGGUCUGUAACUGACGCUGAGGAGCGAAAGCGUGGGGAGCGAACAGGAUUAGAU
This 706-nucleotide ribosomal RNA is filed under the name Bacillus subtilis. RNAcentral describes it as "bacterial SSU rRNA". It matches the Rfam family "Bacterial small subunit ribosomal RNA", at positions 93 to 783 of the family's 1533-position model. The record is from RNAcentral. RNAcentral also lists the same sequence under 1 other name. Lineage: Bacteria; Bacillati; Bacillota; Bacilli; Caryophanales; Bacillaceae.